This is a non-coding RNA of Mycena epipterygia, 91 nucleotides long. The record is from the annotation of a GenBank genome assembly. NCBI's taxonomy places the organism in Eukaryota, Fungi, Basidiomycota, Agaricomycetes, Agaricales, Mycenaceae.
GGCUUGGUAGCGCUCGGAGCGCGUCUGCGGUUCAUGUUGUAGUCGUGAGCGUGCAUAGCAGAGGGAGCCCGUUCGACUCGGGCCCGAGCCA